UACAGAGGUCUCAAGCGUUGUUCGGAUUCAUUGGGCGUAAAGGGUGCGUAGGUGGUGCUGUAAGUCAGGUGUGAAAUCUCGGGGCUCAACCCCGAAACUGCACUUGAUACUGCGGUGCUUGAGGACUGGAGAGGAGAUCGGAAUUCAUGGUGUAGCAGUGGAAUGCGUAGAUAUCAUGAGGAAGACCAGUGGCGAAGGCGGAUCUCUGGACAGUUCCUGACACUGAGGCACGAAGGCCAGGGGAGCAAACGGG
RNAcentral lists this ribosomal RNA (253 nucleotides) under uncultured bacterium. Its description in RNAcentral is "partial 16S ribosomal RNA". It matches the Rfam family "Bacterial small subunit ribosomal RNA", at positions 524 to 776 of the family's 1533-position model. The record is from RNAcentral.